CAGCAGCCGCGGUAAUACGUAGGGGGCAAGCGUUGUCCGGAAUUAUUGGGCGUAAAGCGCUCGCAGGCGGUUUUUUAAGUCUGAUGUGAAAUCUUGCGGCUCAACCGCAAGCGGUCAUUGGAAACUGGAGAACUUGAGGACAGAAGAGGAGAGUGGAAUUCCACGUGUAGCGGUGAAAUGCGUAGAGAUGUGGAGGAACACCAGUGGCGAAGGCGACUCUCUGGUCUGUAACUGACGCUGAGGAGCGAAAGCGUGGGUAGCGAACAGGAUUAGAUACCCUGGUAGUCCACGCCGUAAACGAUGAGUGCUAGGUGUUAGGGGGUUUCCGCCCCUUAGUGCUGGCGUUAACGCAUUAAGCACUCCGCCUGGGGAGUACGGCCGCAAGGCUGAAACUCAAAAGAAUUGACGGGGACCCGCACAAGCGGUGGAGCAUGUGGUUUAAUUCGAAGCAACGCGAAGAACCUUACCAGGUCUUGACAUCCUUAUGCCCGCUCUAGAGAUAGAGUUUUCCCUUCGGGGACAUAAGUGACAGGAGGUGCAUGGCC
This 545-nucleotide ribosomal RNA is filed under the name uncultured archaeon. Its description in RNAcentral is "bacterial SSU rRNA". It matches the Rfam family "Bacterial small subunit ribosomal RNA", at positions 509 to 1050 of the family's 1533-position model. The record is from RNAcentral.